AUAAAGUUGUUCUCAGUUCGGAUUGUAGUCUGCAACUCGACUACAUGAAGCUGGAAUCGCUAGUAAUCGUAGAUCAGCAUGCUACGGUGAAUACGUUCCCGGGUCUUGUACACACCGCCCGUCACACCACGAGAGUUUGUAACACCCGAAGCCGGUGGAGUAACCUUUUAGGAGCUAGCCGUCGAAGGUGGGACAAAUGAUUGGGGUGAAGUCGUAACAAGGUAGCCGUAUCGGAAGGUGCGGCUGGAUCACCUCCUUUCUAAGGA
Molecule: ribosomal RNA, 266 nt
Filed under: Enterobacter cloacae complex sp. 743-2DZ2F-22B
Lineage: Bacteria; Pseudomonadati; Pseudomonadota; Gammaproteobacteria; Enterobacterales; Enterobacteriaceae
Description: partial 16S ribosomal RNA
Rfam family: Bacterial small subunit ribosomal RNA
Source: RNAcentral